RNAcentral lists this long non-coding RNA (252 nucleotides) under Musa acuminata (dwarf banana). RNAcentral describes it as "long non-coding RNA (MACU_LNC003361)". Lineage: Eukaryota; Viridiplantae; Streptophyta; Magnoliopsida; Zingiberales; Musaceae. The record is from RNAcentral.
CCAAGUGGCAUCUUCUGUUAGUAGGUUUGCUAACUGUAUUAGCAAUUCAGUAGUGGAUCGUCAUCGUCGAGUCAUGAUCCGUCGAUCAAUAAUGGCACUUGGCUGAGUCUGAAGUUCUCCUUGGGUAGUCAUAUUUGGUGGGUGGCUUUGGGUUGUCUCCAAGCACCUAUUUACAACUUCCGUCUGGCCGUCGGUUUGUGGGUGAUAUGUCAUACUUCUUUUCAAUUUAGUACCCUGCAUAUAGAAUAACUU